CAGGUCUGAUGUGAGGUUCACAGAGCUGUCGUCUAAGGAGCUGGGGCAAGGGAAGAGUGUGUGCUACCAAACAGGUCCAAGUCUUCUACUGGGAUUACUUUUGAAUAGCAAGAAUAACUAUGCCAACCUAUCUCCUCCCAACCAUGCUCCACUAAUGCAAAAUCAGUAUUGGGCAACCCUGAGAACAGUCAUGAGGUCUUUAGAGGUGGUGAACGAGAGAAGUUUCGGUAUCAUCUAUCAGCAUUUUGAGUAUCUGGAGCACGGCUUUAAUUUUAGAGUAGUUCCAUAACCUGCCAUUGAAUUCUGAUCUCUUUAAAAG
This 319-nucleotide long non-coding RNA is filed under the name Mus spicilegus (steppe mouse). RNAcentral describes it as "lncRNA (ENSMSIG00000020605.1)". Lineage: Eukaryota; Metazoa; Chordata; Mammalia; Rodentia; Muridae. The record is from RNAcentral.